GUGCCAUCUUGUAAUUAAUAAACAUACUAAUAAUUAAAUCAAAGAGUGGUACUGAUUAUGAAUUAAUGAUUAAACUAGAAUAUAUUAACUAAAUUAUCUGAAGAAAAAAAUCUGUUUCAGUCUGGGAUUGAACCAGGGACCUUUUGAGUUACCUUCCCAACAUCAUAAUUGCUAGAUCACUGAGCCUAUGUAAAAGAUUGACUCUUCAGAUAAUAUUAAUUUAGGAUUACUUUUUUGAUCAUAGACAUUGGACUCUACCAAUAAACCUAUUCCUGACCAGUUUUUCAGCCAUGGACCCUCAAUGAUGCUAGCCAGGCAAUACAUAGAAUUCACAGUUAUUAUUGUAUCAACUAUUUUUUACCUAACUUCAAGGGAAUUAUUCCAAUUGAACCUAAUACUUAUAUUAAAUUUUAAUCCCUUGAUAUAUGAAUUUCUGACAUGCAUAUAUAUCAUUUCCAGUUAUAGUAUAAUAAUCAUUUUUUUCAAGUAUUGCUUAUUAUUGUAUCUUCUAAUAUUUAUUUUAUCAUUGUAUCAUUAUUUAU
RNAcentral lists this long non-coding RNA (542 nucleotides) under Androctonus crassicauda. Lineage: Eukaryota; Metazoa; Arthropoda; Arachnida; Scorpiones; Buthidae. The record is from RNAcentral.